CAGUCGCCGCGGGAAUACGAACCGUGCGAACGUUAUUCGGAAUCACUGGGCUUAAAGCGCGUGUAGGCGGGACGGCACGUCGACUGCUGAGAUCCCUCGGCUUAACCGAGGAAGUGGCAUCGGUACGACCGUCCUGGAGGAACGUAGGGGGACCUGGAACUUCCGGUGGAGCGGUGAAAUGCGUUGAGAUCGGAAGGAACGCCCGUGGCGAAAGCGAGGUCCUGGACGUUUUCUGACGCUGAGACGCGAAAGCUAGGGGAGCGAACGGGAUUAGAGACCCCCGUAGUCCCUGUCUCUUAUA
RNAcentral lists this ribosomal RNA (301 nucleotides) under uncultured bacterium. RNAcentral's name for it is "partial 16S ribosomal RNA". It matches the Rfam family "Bacterial small subunit ribosomal RNA", at positions 509 to 808 of the family's 1533-position model. The record is from RNAcentral.